Long non-coding RNA from Choloepus didactylus (southern two-toed sloth), 1552 nucleotides. RefSeq lists it as uncharacterized. The record is from RefSeq and is a predicted model, not a curated record. The transcript is spliced from 3 exons. NCBI's taxonomy places the organism in Eukaryota, Metazoa, Chordata, Mammalia, Pilosa, Megalonychidae.
CCCGGGUAAUUGUGGCGCGCGAGGUGCGGGGAUGUCGGGGAGCGUUCAGAGGUUUUUCUCCUCCCGAAGUUCCGAGACGCGGCCUCGGGAGCCCUGUCUCCGAGGCGCCGUGGCCCGGGAGAAGUUUGGGCCGAAACUGACGUGCGUCUCCCGAGUUGAUCUCAGCAGCGCCCUCCUCCCCGGCCAGGGCCAGAGCACUUUGGGCUGAAGAGCCGCCUGGGUUCCUCCUGGAAGGCCGCAGGGCUCAGGAGGCGGCGGUGGGUGACUUCCCCCUUGUGCAGGGAGAACCCACAGCCGGGUCUGUUCAAGGGAGGGAAGGAAGGUGGCCGGGGACCAGCCGCUUCUCCCACCCUCCCCUCUGCCCUUUUGUUGACAGCCAGCCUCUUUGUCGCCCCCUUGGUCCUAUGCCGCCCGUCCCUGCCUCCCUCCACACCUUCUAGGCCUUUUAUUAGAGUGGCCUUGGCUUGUGGGGUCCUGGCCCCCUCAUCUCCUGACUUCUGCUCUUCCCUACUUCUGCACCCCCGAGACGGCCCGGAGCCCCCCAGGCCUCCCCUUUCAGACAACUGCAGAAUCAUCCAGCCUGGCCUCAGGUCCCGUCAAGCCUGUUCCCACCUUUGGGUCAAAGAUCAAGGGGCUGGGCCACCCCAGGAGGGCCGCACAUUUGUUCAUAGCCACCUAUCCACCUGGGGACUUGACCCCCCAGGGGCCUCCGAGGCGCCUGCUGCAUCGGGUUCUCAGAGGUGAGCUCUGGCGGGGGGGGCAGGUCCAGGCAGGUGCAGGCCUCGAGAGGCCAAGCAGGGAGGUCAGCUGUUCCCCUCUCCCCUCCAGGCCGUCCUCCUGCAGGCCCCGGGGGAUCCUGAUGGAGUAGGGUGUGUGCUGCCCACGGCCCUGACCCUGACGGGAGGUCUAAGAAUAACCCUGAGCGUCCCGGCCACCCUCGGGCCCCUGGCAGAUGCGCCUGCUUUUCCAGAAGGAAGGGAGAAUUGGGGAUCCGUUCCUGCUGCUAUGUGAGGACGAAGGCAGGAAGCCAGGGGCAGCUCAGUCCCUAAUGUGUACUCACCACUCCCUCUCCCGCAGCCUAUGGAAAUCCCUGGAAUCCUGCUGCCUGGGGACAGCUCCAGGGAAUCUUCUGCUUCAUGAACUCAUGAAAAGAGGCAGAUAGGAUUUCAGACACAGCUGUGUUGGUGGUCCCUCCUGGACAUCCCCUUUCCUCCUGAGCACCAAUCAGGGACAGUCAGGUGGCUGCUCAGUUAGCACCAGCUGGGCGCCUUCUGCUCUCAGUCAUCCACUUGGCCAACCUGCUUGAGGCCAAGUACUGUCCAGAUGUGGGGGUGAUGGCGAUAACCAAGGCCAUCAGGGCCUCAGGCGUCAGGUGUCUUAGCCUCUCUGAGCCUCGCUUCCGUCAUCUGUGAGUAUGAAGUGAGAUAGCCCAUGUAACACGCUGAGUGCAUUGAGGGUCCCCUGGCACAGAGAUUGAACUUGAGGUUCAGCAACAUGUGCUGAACUGAAAUGAGCUGUGUGUAGGAUCUAGAAGGCAAAGGGGGUCUCAGAA